GCUGGUUCUCCUCGAAAACUAUUUAGGUAGUGCCUCGUGAGUGACCACUGGGGGUAGAGCACUGUGUCGGCUAGGGGGUCAUCCCGACUUACCAACCCCAUGCAAACUCCGAAUACCCAGGAGUACAAUCACGGCAGACAGACAGCGGGUGCUAACGUCCGUUGUCAAGAGGGAAACAACCCAGACCGCCAGCUAAGGUCCCUAAAAUUGGCUAAGUGGGAAACGAAGUGGGAAGGCUAAAACAGUCAGGAUGUUGGCUUAGAAGCAGCCAUCAUUUAAAGAAAGCGUAAUAGCUCACUGAUCGAGUCGUCCUGCGCGGAAGAUGUAACGGGGCUAAGCACGUAACCGAAGCUUCGGAUACUAAUUUAUUAGUAUGGUAGGAGAGCGUUCUGUAGGCCUGCGAAGGUGUUCUGUGA
Molecule: ribosomal RNA, 416 nt
Filed under: Pteridomonas danica
Lineage: Eukaryota; Dictyochophyceae; Pedinellales
Description: partial Bacterial large subunit ribosomal RNA
Rfam family: Bacterial large subunit ribosomal RNA
Source: RNAcentral